Molecule: RNA transcript, 2436 nt
Organism: Sesamum indicum (sesame)
Lineage: Eukaryota; Viridiplantae; Streptophyta; Magnoliopsida; Lamiales; Pedaliaceae
Gene name: serine/threonine protein phosphatase 2A 57 kDa regulatory subunit B' beta isoform
Source: RefSeq, a predicted model, not a curated record
CAACAAAAUUUCUUGCAUCAGAAAUAAAAAUAAUUCGUGCAGAGGUAUUGUUCUCCUUCCUUCCCACCCUUUUCGGAUCUUUCUUUCCCCAAAACGAAACACGCAAAUUUGUUUCCCCACUCUCUCUCUCUCUGAAGGAAAGAAAGAGAAACUGUGUUCCCUCUGCCUGCGUAGAUUGGUAACAUGUUUCAUGGCUGAAUUUCCAGAUUUUCAUAUGGCGCUCUUGAAUUCUCAGCAUCCCAUCUGAGGUUGUAUUAUUUGUUACCAACUGCUUUGAUUAGAAUUUUGUGGGAAAGUGGAAGACGAGGAAGAAGGGGAAAUAUAGAGAAAAGGGAAAGAUGGGUGUUAACUAGGAAAAAGGAGUACUGGGUUAGUGUUGCAGGAAGUGGGUUUCCUGAUUCUAUAUUUUUUGAGGUUUAUGAUUUUGUCAUUUGGGAAAAAGUAACAAUGUUUAACAAAAUAAUGAAAAGAGGGCAGAAAAAGCCCUCCAAAUCGGAAGCAACUGAGCCUCCUCCAGUGGCUACAGCAACAGCAGCCCCCAAUGUGGCUGCGGCCCCGCAACCGCUUCUGAGUCUUGCAACCAUCCAAAACCCUGGCGUAGUUGAGGUCUUGCCAAUGUUGAGGGAUGUUGCUGUACCAGACAGACAUGUAGUAUUCAUCCGAAAAGUCCUAGUGUGUUGUUUCUUCUUUGAUUUCUCUGAUACAAUGAAGUCGGCCCGAGAAAAGGAGAUCAAGAGGCAAACCCUUGCAGAGCUUGUCGAUAUAGUGCAGUCUGGAUCGUGUAAACUGAACGAGAUAAUGCAGGAGGAUAUGGUCAAAAUGAUAUCCAUGAAUAUUUUCCGAUGCUUGCCACCUGCACCGCAUGAAAAUUCUGGCGCGGAUGGUGGAGAUCCUGAGGAGGAUGAUAUGUUCAUGGACCCCGCUUGGCCCCACUUGCAACUUGUGUAUGAGUUACUUUUAAGAUACGUGGUGUCACCAGAUACAGAUACCAAGCUUGCCAAAAGAUUUAUUGAUCACUCGUUUGUCAUAAAACUACUUGAAUUGUUUGAUUCUGAGGACAUGAGAGAGAGGGAGUAUUUGAAGACUAUUGUUCAUCGGAUAUAUGGAAGAUUCAUGGUUCAUCGACCGCUUAUAAGGAAUGAAAUUAACAACAUAUUCUAUCGGUUUAUAUUUGAGACAGAGAGGUACAAUGGGAUAUGUGAGUUACUGGAGAUCCUCGGAAGUAUAAUAAAUGGGUUUGCAUUGCCAAUGAAAGAGGAGCACAAGUUGUUUCUUGUACGAGCACUUAUUCCAUUGCACAAGCCUAAAUCUAUUACUACAUACCAUCAACAGUUAUCCUAUUGUAUAACACAAUUCGUCGACAAAGAUUACAGGUUGUCUGAUACUGUCAUUAGGGGGGUGCUGAAGUAUUGGCCUCUGACAAACUGUGGGAAAGAGGUUCUCUUCCUUGGAGAACUAGAAGAAAUUUUGGAGGUUACACAAUCUGCAGAGUUCCAGCGCUGCAUGGUUCCCCUUUUUAGACAAAUUGGAAGAAGCCUCAAUAGCCCACAUUUUCAGGUGGCAGAACGGGCUCUUUUCUGGUGGAACAACGAGCACAUAGUGGCCUUGAUUGCAGAGAAUAGGCAUGUUGUUUUACCCAUCAUAUUCGAUGCGCUAGAGAAGAACAUACGAAGUCACUGGAACCAGGCAAUCAAUGGCUUGAGCGCGAAUGUCCGACGAAUGUUCCAGGAGAUGGAUGCUGAGCUAUUUGACGAGUGUCAGAGACAGCACGCUGCAAAGGAGGCUAUGGCAGGAAAACUGGAGGAGCAACGCGUCUCAACUUGGAAAAGACUUGAGGAAGUUGCUGCCCGUACCAUGGGGAAAAACAUGGUUCUUGUUUAGUGAUCUUUAAGUUUUUCUUUUUUUUUUUUUCCUUUUUCUAAACGUAUUUUCAGGAAUAGUGAUGUGACUUCUGCACUUGGCAAAGCUCUAUGGAUUAGAUGCUCAGGAUCAAAUACUUGAAGAAGUUUUUGCUAUCUUCCACUUUAGCAGCUUAACUAGUACUCCAAAAGGGCGUAGGAAUGAUUACAAAACAAGCCGAGAGCUGAAGGAAAAGAGCCUGAAGAAAGGAGAAAAAGUGCUGGUGAAAAUACCAUCCCAAUAACUCAUGCAGAUUUUUGAACCUGUCAUCGAGAGCUUGUGCUGCGUGUAUGCUUUUACUUCUGCGCGAGGUGCCCGACGCUCGUUCUUGCUUCAUCAUUUGUUGCUUUCUUGCCAUUCUCUUACAGAACAUGUAUAUUCUCAGUGCUGAACGGUUCUUUGUGCUUUGACAUUAUGAUCUAAGGCCAUCUCUUCUGAGAAUUAUACUUAAAGCUGUGAGUGGUAAUUGUAAUAAAUCCAGUUGGGAUUAUGAGCCUGUUUGAUCUGAUGCGUAUAUAAUGUCACAAUGUUGGAAGA